This 82-nucleotide transfer RNA is filed under the name Ketobacter alkanivorans. It matches the Rfam family "tRNA". Rfam says of the family: Transfer RNA (tRNA) molecules are approximately 80 nucleotides in length. The record is from RNAcentral. RNAcentral also lists the same sequence under 1 other name. Lineage: Bacteria; Pseudomonadati; Pseudomonadota; Gammaproteobacteria; Pseudomonadales; Ketobacteraceae.
GGCAGGAUGGCCGAGUGGUCUAAGGCUCUGGUUUAAGACACCAGUCAUUUCGGGGGUGUGGGUUCGAGUCCCACUCCUGUCA